Molecule: unclassified non-coding RNA, 254 nt
Filed under: uncultured fungus
Lineage: Eukaryota; Fungi
Description: sequence contains ITS1
Source: RNAcentral
UUUGUUCAUUCUUUCGAAUAAGUUCACUUUUUGGGUGAAUUGUUUUUGAUUAUGAUUCAAGCUUCUCUUGUGAAAGAGAGAUUUGUUUUAAAAUAGGCAAAAUGCCAAAUUGUGUUAAACGCGGGACUCAAAUGAUCAAACGAGCUUGUAACUCGAAAGAUCACUCAAUAACCACUCCUCGCUCGCUUUUACAAGCUCGCUCGGAGAUGGUUGGAGGUGUGGUAAUGAUCCUUCCGCAGGUUCACCUACGGAAA